GACGAACGCUGGCGGCGUGCUUAACACAUGCAAGUCGUACGGUAAGGCCCUUUCGGGGGUACACGAGUGGCGAACGGGUGAGUAACACGUGAGUAACCUGCCCACAACUUUGGGAUAACGCUAGGAAACUGGUGCUAAUACUGGAUAUGUGCUCCUGCUGCAUGGUGGGGGUUGGAAAGCUCCGGCGGUUGUGGAUGGACUCGCGGCCUAUCAGCUUGUUGGUGGAGUAGUGGCCUACCAAGGCGGCGACGGGUAGCCGGCCUGAGAGGGUGACCGGCCACAUUGGGACUGAGAUACGGCCCAGACUCCUACGGGAGGCAGCAGUGGGGAAUAUUGCACAAUGGGCGCAAGCCUGAUGCAGCAACGCCGCGUGCGGGAUGACGGCCUUCGGGUUGUAAACCGCUUUCAGCAGGGACGAAGCUUUUUGUGACGGUACCUGCAGAAGAAGCACCGGCUAACUACGUG
This 465-nucleotide ribosomal RNA is filed under the name uncultured bacterium. Its description in RNAcentral is "partial 16S ribosomal RNA". It matches the Rfam family "Bacterial small subunit ribosomal RNA", at positions 28 to 507 of the family's 1533-position model. The record is from RNAcentral.